RNAcentral lists this ribosomal RNA (627 nucleotides) under Triticum aestivum (bread wheat). Its description in RNAcentral is "partial small subunit ribosomal RNA". Lineage: Eukaryota; Viridiplantae; Streptophyta; Magnoliopsida; Poales; Poaceae. The record is from RNAcentral.
AUGGGUCUCAGAUUAGAAGAUGGGGAAAAGGUAAAGAUGAAGAGUCAGACAAAUGUUCGCUUAUCUGCUUCUCCUAAAUCUGCAUUUGAGGAAGAGCGAGAUAUACUGCAUGAAGAGGCUUUGGACGUUGCCAAGUGCACUGGGAUUGUUCAGCCCGACGACAUGAGCCACAAGAUAGUCAUGGAGUGCCUCAUAUACAGGGACCUGCUUUCUAUGGAAUUGAAGACACAUGCACCAAACUAUUGGAUCUGCGAUGGUAUUAUACAGGGCCAAGACAAUGCAUCAGCAUGGGACAUUGGCAAUUCUCUUCAGAGAAAUUUGAGCUUGGAUUGUAAUGCCAACUAUAAUAAGGCCGCAGCUCCCGUGCUACAGGUGUCAGAUGAUUUACUUGUUAACUGCUGGAAUUUCACCACCCACAAACAACUCCUUAUAAAGGAUAAUAGUCGUGUGCUGCCUACUCAGGUGACAUCAGUCCUCCUUUCUGCAGAUGAACCACCAAGAAAUACAACAGCAAUAUUGCCAGUUGGCAUGUUCCAACAUUCACAAAGUAGCAAGCUGCGUGUGUUACAUCUGUCUCAUUGCACCUUCAGUUUGCAUCUCCUCCCUUCGUCCAUUGUGCCCAACUAA